UAUGAUGGCAGUUAUGGAGGUGAUAAUGUUGACAGGAAUGUAAGAUCUGAUCAUGGUGGUUAUGGAGGUGAUAAUGUUGGAAGGAAUGUAAGAUCUUAUGAUAGCAGUUAUGGAGGUAAUGAUGUUGACAGGAACGUAAGAUCUUAUGAUGGCAGUUAUGGAGGUAAUAAUGUUGAAAGGAAUGUAAGAUUGUAUGAUGGCAGUUAUGGAGGUGAUAAUGUUGAAAGGAAUAUAAGAUCUUAUGAUGGC
This is a long non-coding RNA of Octopus bimaculoides (California two-spot octopus), 249 nucleotides long. Lineage: Eukaryota; Metazoa; Mollusca; Cephalopoda; Octopoda; Octopodidae. The record is from RefSeq and is a predicted model, not a curated record.